GUCAAGUGUCAAAUUUUGUCCUUCAAUUUUUUUAGCAAGAUCAUCAUGAUUAAAUAACCACUCAUCAUAUCAUAAUUUUGCAGCACAUCUCACAUAGCUACUUAACAUUAAGCAUUGACACUUAAAACUAUGAAAAAAAUCAUAUUUUGUCAAGUGUCAAAUUUUGUCCGGUUCAAUCACAUCCAACAUCUAACAUCUCAUCCAUCUAACAUAACCACUCACAUCCAACAUCUCACAUAACCACUCAUCACAUCCAACAUCUAACAUCCAACAUCCAUCUAACAUCCAAAUGAAAAGAUCUCAAAUGACAAGAUCAUCAUCUAACCUAACAAUCUAACAUCCAACAUCCAUCCAUGCAUUCAUUCAUCCAUCCAACAGUACCAAAAAAAUGAAAAAAAUGAAAAAAAAA
RNAcentral lists this long non-coding RNA (409 nucleotides) under Triticum aestivum (bread wheat). Its description in RNAcentral is "long non-coding RNA (TAES_LNC000771)". Lineage: Eukaryota; Viridiplantae; Streptophyta; Magnoliopsida; Poales; Poaceae. The record is from RNAcentral.